CCUACGGGAGGCAGCAGUGAGGAAUAUUGGUCAAUGGACGAGAGUCUGAACCAGCCAAGUAGCGUGAAGGAUGACUGCCCUAUGGGUUGUAAACUUCUUUUAUAAAGGAAUAAAACGAGGCACGUGUGCCUUUUUGCAUGUACUUUAUGAAUAAGGAUCGGCUAACUCCGUGCCAGCCGCCGCGGUAAUACGGAGGAUCCGAGCGUUAUCCGGAUUUAUUGGGUUUAAAGGGAGCGUAGAUGGGUUGUUAAGUCAGUUGUGAAAGUUUGCGGCUCAACCGUAGAAUUGCAAUUGAUACUGGCAGUCUUGAGUACAGUUGAGGUAGGCGGAAUUCGUGGUGUAGCGGUGAAAUGCUUAGAUAUCACGAAGAACCCCGAUUGCGAAGGCAGCUUACUAAGCUGUGACUGACAUUGAUGCUCGAAAGUGUGGGUAUCAAACAGGAUUAGAUACCCGAGUAGUC
This 460-nucleotide ribosomal RNA is filed under the name uncultured bacterium. RNAcentral describes it as "partial 16S ribosomal RNA". It matches the Rfam family "Bacterial small subunit ribosomal RNA", at positions 338 to 795 of the family's 1533-position model. The record is from RNAcentral.